UAAUACCAGGGGGAAAAGGUCAAAAAGUCGUUCGUGCUUGCACGAUAAGACUUUUGAACUUGGACCCCGCCAAACAUGAGGAAGUAGCAAUUUACGUAGUAAAUUAGCGGAUUCCGAAUGUUUGAGGAUUGCGUGAGCUGCGUGCAGCGGAGCAAUCCGGGAGUAUCA
This 168-nucleotide small RNA is filed under the name Blautia sp. SF-50. Its description in RNAcentral is "Clostridiales-1 RNA". It matches the Rfam family "Clostridiales-1 RNA". The record is from RNAcentral. Lineage: Bacteria; Bacillati; Bacillota; Clostridia; Lachnospirales; Lachnospiraceae.